CUCCGUGGUGCCUGGGACCGGGAGCGCGGGGAUCCUCUGUGUGCCUCGGGAGAGGAGAGUCCGGGUGGCCUUAAGUGGCCUGGGGGGAGGUUCUCAGCAGCAGGUGGCAGAGUCUCAAAAGGCCUCUCAGCACAGCACAGGCGGGCCCCAGAUGUCCGGAGCCCUGAAUGUGAGGGGGCGCAGACGCGGGGCUCCCAGAGCAGCGAAGCCUCCUCGUGGCACCUCUGGGCGAGGCCCGUUGGCUGGAGAGCGAUGGGUUUGCCCCGACCGCCUUUGUGGCAAAACUGCGGCUGUGAAAACGAUGGGCUUUGGGAGUGAGGGCUCCGCGUCGGCUGCCCGAGGGUGGGCACCUGCCGGGAGCGGUGGGCCUGCUUACCCGGCACAUCUGAGCUCCGGGGCUGCGAAAAUGAAGGCUGCGGCAGAGAGCAGGAGCAGAAGAGGGCCAAGCGCAGCAGCUAGAAAUAAGGUUUUCUAAGUUCCUGCCCUGAGUGCGACCAUCCAGUAUUUUUCUCUUUUUUUCUGACUUAUUUUGCUGAGCAUGAUCCCUUCUAGCUUCAUCCAUGUUGCUGCAAACUGCAUGUGUUUAUCUUUUUUGAUUGCUGAGUAAUAUUCCAUUGUGUAUAUGUACCACAUCUUCUUGAUCCAGUCAUCUGUUUUUAGACAUUUGGGUUGUUUCCUGAUCUUAGCUAUUGUAAAUAAUGCUGCUAUAAAAAUGGGUGUGCUAUAAAAAUGGG
Long non-coding RNA from Talpa occidentalis (Iberian mole), 734 nucleotides. RefSeq lists it as uncharacterized. The transcript has 3 exons. The record is from RefSeq and is a predicted model, not a curated record. Lineage: Eukaryota; Metazoa; Chordata; Mammalia; Eulipotyphla; Talpidae.